AGUCUCCAACCAAGCCCAACAAAACAACUCGGCAUGGAAGGACAGUCACUUGUAGUAAUUGCAAGCAAAUUGGACAUAAUCGUGGGACUUGUAAAAAUCAAUCUUAUGUGGUUGAAGGUGCAAAACGCAAACGUGGAAGACCUCGGAAGAUACCUCUUGAAAGUGAAAGGAACCCAAAUCCACCAAAAAGGCAAAGAACAACACAAUCACAAUCUUCCACUCCAGCACCUGCCGCUACAUCAACAUUCCCACUAUCAUCUAGUGCUCCUUCACCUGCAUUUUCACAUGAAGGGACAGCUACUGCACCACGACGUGGCCGUCCACCUGGACGAGGUCGUGGUCGUCCUCCAGUCCGAAGACAGCCAUCUAUCCCAAGGGGAAUUGGGAUGUACAUAUGCCCUUUCACAGAUCGAGUAUUUGAUGUAAGGGGAAACAGAGUACGAGAUCUUGGAGGUGCUCCGGCUUAUAACACAUCUCAAGGACCACGUCAACUCUAGUAGUAUUACCAUUUCGUCUUUUGGAUUCUAUGUUGAAUUUUAAUUAUCUCUUGCAAUUGUUUUUGGGUUGGUAAACUUUACUUAUGAACGUUUGGAUUGCAUAUAUGACAAUCUCCUCGUCUCUUUAA
Arabidopsis lyrata subsp. lyrata is the source of this 625-nucleotide long non-coding RNA. RefSeq lists it as uncharacterized. Lineage: Eukaryota; Viridiplantae; Streptophyta; Magnoliopsida; Brassicales; Brassicaceae. The transcript is spliced from 2 exons. The record is from RefSeq and is a predicted model, not a curated record.